RNAcentral lists this ribosomal RNA (442 nucleotides) under uncultured bacterium. RNAcentral describes it as "partial 16S ribosomal RNA". It matches the Rfam family "Bacterial small subunit ribosomal RNA", at positions 338 to 795 of the family's 1533-position model. The record is from RNAcentral.
CCUACGGGCGGCAGCAGUGGGGAAUAUUGGGCAAUGGGCGCAAGCCUGACCCAGCAAUGCCGCGUGAAGGAAGAAGGCUUUCGGGUUGUAAACCUCUUUUACAGGGGAAGAGCAGAAGACGGUACCCUGAAAACAAGCCACGGCUAACUACGUGGCAGCAGCCCCGGUAAUGCGUAGGGGGCAAGCGUUAUCCGGAUUUACUGGGUGUAAAGGGGGCGCAGACGGGAGCGCAAGCCCGGAGUGAAAGCCCGGGGGCCAAACCCGGGACUGCGCUUGGAACUGGGCGGCUGGAGUGCAGGAGGGGCAGGCGGAAUGCCGGGUGUAGCGGUGAAAUGCGUAGAUAUCAGGAGGAACACCGGUGGCGAAGGCGGCCUGCUGGACUGCGACUGACGUUGAGGCCCGAAAGCGUGGGGAGCAAACAGGAUUAGAUACCCUAGUAGUC